RNAcentral lists this ribosomal RNA (449 nucleotides) under uncultured bacterium. RNAcentral's name for it is "bacterial SSU rRNA". It matches the Rfam family "Bacterial small subunit ribosomal RNA", at positions 329 to 792 of the family's 1533-position model. The record is from RNAcentral.
GUCCAGACUCCUACGGGAGGCAGCAGUGGGGAAUAUUGGACAAUGGGGGGAACCCUGAUCCAGCGACGCCGCGUGAGUGAAGAAGUAUUUCGGUAUGUAAAGCUCUAUCAGCAGGGAAGAAAGAAAUGACGGUACCUGACUAAGAAGCCCCGGCUAACUACGUGCCAGCAGCCGCGGUAAUACGUAGGGGGCAAGCGUUAUCCGGAUUUACUGGGUGUAAAGGGGGCGCAGACGGCAGCGCAAGCCAGGAGUGAAAGCCCGGGGCCCAACCCCGGGACUGCUCUUGGAACUGCGCGGCUGGAGUGCAGGAGGGGCAGGCGGAAUUCCUGGUGUAGCGGUGAAAUGCGUAGAUAUCAGGAGGAACACCGGUGGCGAAGGCGGCCUGCUGGACUGCGACUGACGUUGAGGCCCGAAAGCGUGGGGAGCAAACAGGAUUAGAUACCCGUGUA